Molecule: long non-coding RNA, 1652 nt
Organism: Pan troglodytes (chimpanzee)
Lineage: Eukaryota; Metazoa; Chordata; Mammalia; Primates; Hominidae
Exons: 2
Source: RefSeq, a predicted model, not a curated record
CAAAACUCCGCCUCAAAAAUAAACAAAUAAAUAAAUAAAUAAAGUAGUGUCUGCAAGAAGGAGGACUGACACAUUAUCCCCCCACUAGAUGAUUGCUCAGCAGAAAGGGGAGACUUCAGUGGAAACAAGACAGUAUAGAAUGGCCAGAAAGAGAAGGUGCAGGGAUGAUCACCUCACAUAGGUGCAGAAAAUGUCUCCUGCCUAUGUGUCUACAGGCCAAGCUGGGCUAGCAGAGGUAGAUGAACUUGGGGCAAAGGGUAAAAAGAAUGGGCUCCUGAUGCAAUGGGGUGGAGGCAGCUUGACCAGGCAUAGCCAUCUUCCCAAGAGACCCUCAGACACGCUAGCGGGAUGCUUGGGAUGAGUCCCUCCUCAGCAGGAGCCCACUGGGGCCACCACCUGUCCAUACCAAGCCUAUAGAUGACAAGCCAGGCCAGCGUAAAUGGCCAAGGCGAGAGACCAAAACUACACCACAGCCAGUCACAUAAAGAGCUAUCUGUGCUUCCUCUCCAUCCUUCCUACCCCAUUGUCAAAAAUCUGUGUAAACACAGACAGAAGGGUGCGGGAAUGAGCCUCUCCCUCCAGCCCUAAAGGCAUCAAUCAAGGCUGUGCUGGGAGGAGGUGGAGCCUGGUAGACUCUGACUUGACUAUGAGAUGAACUUUAACAUUUGAACAGUUCCAAGCUUUAACAACUGAAAUGAAUGGCUUUAAUGUCAGGAAGUGACUGAAAAGUUAGGGAAUCUGACUGAGAUAGUGUGAGGGCAGCCUGUCCCCUAGUGGGGAAGAGGCUGUUCGAUCCAGCUGAAUUGGUUCUUGGAAAAGAGCUUUUCUGUUCCUAGCUUAGGGAAAACGUCUCUCCUCUGCGUCCCUCACCACCCCAGGGAAGAUUAUCGCCUUCAGUUAAACUGGGAAAUCUGUGGCUCUGAGAUUUGGCUCUGAAAUCUCUGGCUUUAAUUCACCCAACAAAGGUCACACCUCUACCAAUGGCAGUGCCCAGACUAGAGCCUGAUCCGUCCUCCUCUGCCAGGGGAGACUGAGGCAUGGUGUGUGCCAGGCAGCCGCAUGGGGAGUCCACACUGGGAAGUGGAAGCCUGGGGAACCCUAGGUAAAGGUGGCCUGCCUGAUGCAGGAUUUACAAUGUGAGCUGGUUUUUCUCUAUCUUAGGAAGAGAAGAGGAAAACCUUCUGCUAAUGUUAUCGGUGGAGACCAUCCAGGCUCUUGACAUUUUGAACAAAGACUUGGCCAACCGGCUGGCCGCGUGGCCUAAUGGAUAAGGCGUCUGACUUCGGAUCAGAAGAUUGCAGCUCUAACUGCGGCUUCUGGCAGCUUCUGAUUCCUGCUGUUUGGAAUGCUGACUGCUGGGAUGUGCCUCCUCUGAGCCUGGACACCACGUCAUCGGCAGCCUGAACAACACAGUGAGGUGUGUCAUGGUAGGUGCGUCAGCCACCAAAUUCUGGUGAAUUCCCAGCCAAUAGCUGGCUUCAACUGCCAGAGAGUGAGCCCCCAGGACAUCCAGCCCAGUUGAGCCAUCAAAUAACUGUAGCCUGGUGCACAUCUGAAUGUAACUUCAUAAGAGAGCCCAAGGGAAGCUUACCUACUUGAGCCCAGUUUAUGCUUAGACCAUGAGAAGUAAUAAUAAAUUUUGUUUUAAGUCA